Molecule: signal recognition particle RNA, 297 nt
Filed under: Microcebus murinus (gray mouse lemur)
Lineage: Eukaryota; Metazoa; Chordata; Mammalia; Primates; Cheirogaleidae
Description: Metazoan signal recognition particle RNA (ENSMICG00000035860.2)
Rfam family: Metazoan signal recognition particle RNA
About the family: The signal recognition particle (SRP) is a universally conserved ribonucleoprotein.
Source: Rfam by way of RNAcentral
GCCACAUGUGGCGGCACAUACCUGUAGUCCCAGCUACUCAGCAGGCUGGGGCUGGAGAGUCGCUUGGCCCGGGAGUUCUGGUCUGUAGUGUGCUAUGCCGAUCAGGCGUCCAUGCUAAGUUCGGCAUCAGUAUGGUGGCCUCCCGGGAGCUGGGGCCACCGGGUUGUCUAAAGAGAGGGGAAACGGCCCAGGUCGGAAAUGGAGCAGGUCAAAAUUCCCGAGCUGAUCAGCAUGGGAUCGCAUCUGGGAAUAGCCACUGCACCCCAGCCUGGGCAACACAGUGAGACCUCGUCUCCU